UGCUGAAAGUUUGGGAAAUUUAAAAAUAAAGAGAAAGCAACAGAGCAAGGCUGUUGUAAACACCAAAGGCAAAAACUUCAGUCCAGAAAAGUGGAUUCCUUUUUAAUUUACAGCAUAAAAACAACCUUGAGAAAAUAAACAUCGUGGCUUAGACAAGUUUCCAUCACUGAAAGUUGUUCCUCUAAGAAAAGCAAACUACAGAUAUGUGUAAGAAGUGAAACGGGAUGAGUUCUGAAAGAAUGAGUGAAUUAAUUCUGAAAGGUAUUUGAUCAAAUUUAUAGGUCUUGUUCAUUGAUACAUAGUCUUAUGAGAAUCUAGGAAAAAAGUAAUUUCAUAUUCAUAAUUAGAAAGAAAGUUGUCCUUUCUUCCAAGAAGUUUACACUAGGCAGAUCUUUGUUAUCACUGAUAAUUAAUAAUUUUUAGUAAAAAACAUAAACAGUACCUUUCUAUGAGUUUUGCUUUCUUGAGAAAUACAUUGACUAGCCCUGUGUCUGUUUACUCGUUUAUCUUUGCUACGUUAAUGAAAUUUAGGAUGUUGUCACUAGAAGCAAGUGUUUGGUUUCCUAACAUUCCUUUAGGAAAUACACUAUGUUUAGACAGAGUUUUAAAACAAUCAGCAUCCGGAUCCAACAUCUGAUAAACUGUAAAGCAGGAAUAGGUACUUUAAUUUUAGAGUGAUGAUGACUUAUUUCCUCUCAUUGCAGGUUUGUGGCUUCUUUUUCUAGGACCUAGUAGUGAGAGGGAAGAAGUAGCAACUGGACCGAGUACUGACUGGGGAAAAAGGCUGGAGUACAAGAGCUUUAUUAUCUGUCAGUCACAAUCUCACUUUAGACUCUCGGCUCAAGGAGCCCAGACUCUUUUCUACGCAGAGUUAGAGAGAGAGAGAGAGACAGAGAGAAAGGUCUUCCUUGUCCAUUGGUUCACCCCUCAAGUGGCCGCUACGGCAGGCACGCUGCGCCGAUCCGAAGCCAGGAGCCAGGUGCCUCUUCCUCGUCUCCCACAUGGGUGCAAGGCCCAAGGACCUGGUCCACCCUCCACUGCAUUCUCGGGCCACAGCAGAGAGCUGGACUGGAAGAGGAGCAACCAUAUUUGAAAGCCCUCAGGAUGAAGACAAAUUGCAGCUAAGCAACGUAAUGGAAUAAUUGCAAACAUACUUUCUUCAAAGCCAUAAGAGCCUAAAUGAUCUUUCCAACAAAAUGUUUUAUCAUAAACAGAAGCUUUCAAAUACAUGUGUGACAUAUGUAUUCCAAUCUUAUCACUGCUUUAAUAGAGUUCUACAUAGUGGCUGAAAGUCUUUUAUUGAAUUUAUUUCUAAAUUUUCAAAAGUGAAUUUUGUUUCUUAAACUUUUGGCCAGCAAACUGUUUAAGCAAACCAGUAGUGUACGAAUGAUAAAAGGGCAAACAAGUAGAUAUUUUCAACGAGGAAACUGACUUUUAUAAUUACAAACUCCUUCUAACAUGGACUAAUUUUGCAAAGUUCUUGAAGUUUGGCUCUUUUGAUCUUCAUAAUUUCAUUUUUUUUGCACAAAAUGUACUUAUUCUUCAAAUCCAUUUUUCCAUGAGCUUUUUAAAAAAUUUUUUUAAAGAUAUAUAUAUAUUUAUUUGAAAGUCGGACUUCCAGAGAGAGAGAUAGAUCUUUCAUCCGCUGGUUCACUCCCCAAAUGGUUGCAAUGGCUGGAGCUGGGCCUAUCCAAAGCCAGGAGCUGGGAGCUUCUUCUGGAUCUCCCACAUGGGUGCAGGGGGUCAAGCACGUGGGCCAUCUUCUACUGCUUUUCCAGGCACAUUGAGUGGAGAGCUGGAUUGGAAAAGGAGCAGCCAAGACUUGAAUCAGCGGCCAUAUGGGAUGCCAGCGCCACAGGUGGCAGCCCAUCCAUGAGCUUCUUGAAGUACUCUUAUAGAGCAUUCCUUGAUUCUCCUGCUAUCUCUCUGGUCUUGAUUUUUUUUAAUGAUCUCUUUUCUCCUCAUUGUCUUCUGAAUUUUCAAACACAGGUUUUGUCUUCUCUGUCUUCGCUCCUUCCUUCUUUGCUCCAACAACUUCAAUUGCUGAUCUAUUGACAUUGUUUCUGAGCCCAAGUGUCUAGCCCAGUUUUGCUUCUAAGACAUAACCCUUUGUAUUUCUUCCUGUUUGAAAGUCUUUUUGACUUUUCCAUAAGUACCAUAAACAACAUGUUCAAAAAAUUAAUCACAUCUUCAUCAAAAGCAUCCUGACUCUUUUCAUGAUUUUCCAGAACCAUUCUCUCAGUCAGUCUCCGUAAACAUCUCAGUUCUCUGUUAUUUUCUUCUAGUUCCCAAGUCAGUCACUGCGUUUUGCUAGUUUCCUCUUUUUCACCCUUGGUUUAGGAAGUUAUUUUUCUCUUAGAUAGUGUGAUAACAUUUAGAUGACAUCCUUUCCUCCUGACUCUCCCCACUCUGAAAUCUACCCUAUACACCAACAAGUCAAUCUUCCUAAAAUGUAGUUUACCUUAUAUCAAUUCUCUCCCCGCAAAUCCUUAAGAGUUUGUUAUUUUCUGCUGUAUAAAGUACAAAUCUGGGCUUACAUUGUGGCACAGUGGCUUAACCUUCUGCCUGUGAUGCAGACAUCCCAUAUGAGCACAAGUUUGAGUGCCAGCUGCUCCAUUUCUGAUCCAGUUCCCUGCUAAUGCCAUCUUGGAAAGCAGCAGAGAAUGGCUUGAGUGCUUGGGCCCCUGCCACCAAGGUGGGAGACCUGGAUGAAGCUCCUGGCUCCUGGUUUCUGUAUGGCCCAACCCUGAAGGUUGUAGCCAUCUGGAGAGCGAACCAGUGGAUGGAAGAUCUUUCUCUCUCUCUCUCUGUAACCCUGCCUUUCAAAUAAAUAAAUAAAUAAAUAAAUAAAUCUUUAAAAAAGUAAGUAAAAUCCUCAUCCUGGCAUUCACGUACAUCCAAAUAUUGGCCUGCUAUACUUCUGACAAACUGAAGUGGUUGGUAUUCCUAGGACAAACUGUGAUGUCCUAACAUUUUUUUCUUUAUCAGUGCUAUUCCUUUCAUGAAGAAUUUCCUACCCUAUCAUCUGUUCAACUUGUUAAAAUACCACCUAGUCUUCAAAUGCUGCAAUCUUGCAUGAAACCCUCCUUCCUCCCCUAACCAGAUGCAAUUCCUUCUGUUUCUUUUAUCUUUUUUUCUUUCCGUGGCAUUGGUUUUUAUCCCUUUAAUGAUACCCACCUUGUUCCACUUUGCACUUUAGCUACAUAGAGACCUGUUCCUUUCCAUUCUGCACUUUUUGGAGUUACUCAUGAGUGAAAUAAAAGGAAGUGGGCCUAUAGCUAUAGCAGAAGAUCUCUGAGGGAAGGGAAUGCUUACUCACAUUUGUGUUUGAUGUAGCACACAUAGGAGCAAGGGUAGAAGUAGAUCAUUUAAUCACUACCGGUUUUACUGUGUUGUGACAAGAAGACACAUUUAUUACUUGCAUAUUUAGACAUGAGCUUGCGUAUAUGAGACAUCUUAGAAAAUAUCCCACAAUUUAAGUUCUAAAGAGCAUUAGUUUUCAGAAUCCAGAAGUCAAAAUGGUUCAUUUCCAUUUUUCUUGAUAGAAAGAAAAUAAAACUGAUUUUACUAUUUAUGCCCAGGGACAAUUUCUGCUUUGUUAUUCAGAAAGCUGUAAAAAUAUAAAACCACGUUUUUGGUCUUCCUUCAUUUUUUAUUGGAUCACUUUGGCUGAUUUUCUCACAUAUGAAUUAAAAGAUAAUAUUAUCUACUUCAUACAGUGGUUGUGGGAUUUACUUGCAUCAAUGCAUGUAAACUAUACAAAAGUGCCUGCCACAGCACAAGCACCUGAUAGCAUUUAGCUAGCAUUAUUAAUACUCAUGAAAAAGAUUGCUUCCUUCAGGAGGCACCCCCAGAGUGGUUGGAAUUUCCACAUCUGCAGCCAGGCACAGGUUUUCCUUGCACCUUAUCUUCAUCCAGGGCCUCCUUGGAUUGUGCAUAUCUGGGCAACAGGAGCCAAAGUGUGCUGUGCCUGUUUCCCUCUCUUCCAUUUGCCACUUCUGAGUAACAUUCCAAGUUGUGUUUAGAUUCAAUGCCUUUCCACUUCAUGGUGGGAUGAAUCAGAUUCCACAGCAAAUACCUAAAUAAGAUGAUGGAAAAAUGUAAAUUUCCUAUGAAAACAGGGCUAGAUUUGAUUUGUCUGUCCCUGUGGCACCCUACCUCAUAUAGUAUAGGCACUCAAAAAAUUUUUGUUAAGUGAAUGAAUCAAUUAAUGGAGUUGAAUGUGACUUGGUUAGUUUUUCUCGCCUGUGCAAGACAUACCAGAGGUAAAUUCCUUUCCUUGAGAGCAAUUGACCUAUAGUUGACCUUAUUGCAAACCAAACUGUCCUUUAUUUUGUAUUAGUUAUUUUUUUCAAUAGAGUGAGUGUAAGUGAUUUGGAGCAAAGUCUUAUUAAUACAUAACAGUGUUAGAGACAUUCUGUUUUACCUAUAUGAAAAUUGUCUAACAGGAUUAAAUGAUAUUUAGCAGGUACUUGUUGUGUGCCAGACACUGUUCUGAAUGUUUUGAAAACCAACUAUGUGUGUUCCUAAGUGCAAUGCAUUAUCUUGGAUUGAGUCUUGGAAUAAAGAAGGGGCACUAGUUGAGACACUGGUGAAAUGUGAAUAAAGUCUGAAGUUAAUUGCAAUGUUGGUUUCUGUACCCUUUUUGCAACUUUUGUGUAU
This is a non-coding RNA of Oryctolagus cuniculus (rabbit), 4662 nucleotides long. Lineage: Eukaryota; Metazoa; Chordata; Mammalia; Lagomorpha; Leporidae. The record is from RefSeq and is a predicted model, not a curated record.